Molecule: long non-coding RNA, 327 nt
Filed under: Ursus maritimus (polar bear)
Lineage: Eukaryota; Metazoa; Chordata; Mammalia; Carnivora; Ursidae
Description: lncRNA (ENSUMAG00000020924.1)
Source: RNAcentral
CGCAGCCAGGCGCCCCAAGUUUGGGGAAGGCCGAGCUCCAGCCUGUCUGCCAGUUUGCGCCUAAGAUUCGCCCAGGUCACCCCUCUUGCGGUGCGCCUAAUGUUGGAGGACUAAACACAGAGCCUGGGUAGAACUCCAGUGACCUUUUCUGGCCAGAACCAGUUUGUGACUGGGCCUAGACCGUCUGGCCGGCGUGCCAGUGUUCGGAGAAUUUCCUCGAGGUCCCACGCGCGUCUUGGAAGCCAGAAGUGCAAGGUGUCCAGACGCUGCGCCUCCAACCCGCGCCGCUGCCCAAAGGGGCAGGGCGGACACCUAGGAGCAGCCUAA